This 253-nucleotide ribosomal RNA is filed under the name uncultured bacterium. RNAcentral's name for it is "partial 16S ribosomal RNA". It matches the Rfam family "Bacterial small subunit ribosomal RNA", at positions 524 to 776 of the family's 1533-position model. The record is from RNAcentral.
UACGUAGGGGGCAAGCGUUGUCCGGAAUCAUUGGGCGUAAAGAGCGUGUAGGCGGCUCGGUAAGUCCGCUGUGAAAGUCCAGGGCUCAACCCUGGAAAGCCGGUGGAAACUGUCGAGCUCGAGUCCGGAAGAGGCGAGUGGAAUUCCUGGUGUAGCGGUGAAAUGCGCAGAUAUCAGGAGGAACACCCGUGGCGAAGGCGGGUUGCUGGGCUGACACUGACGCUGAUGCGCGAAAGCCAGGGGAGCGAACGGG